UGGACUAUUUUUUAAGACUGAAGAGAAGAGAUCUUAGCUUUUCUGGACAACCCUGAACUUGACUUAUCUAAUAAGCCUCAAUUAAUCCACACAGUUACCCUGUAAGAUAGUUACAAUUACAUUUCACACAGGAGGACACUGAGAUCCAAGAUGUUUAAGUAGCUUCCCUAAUGUCAUACAGCUUUUGGCACACAUGGCAGUAAAUCCAUAGGGUCUGGAUAGGGUCUGGUUCUUGACGACUGUACUUUUUUUUUUUUUUUUUUUUUUGUAGAUGUUGUCUCACUCUGUCACCCAGGCUGGAUUGCGGUGGCGCGAUCUCGGCUCACUGAAACCUCCGCCUCCUGGGCUCAAGCAAUUCUCUUGCCUCAGCCUCCCAAGUAGCUGGGAUUACAGGUGCGCCACCACACCCCACUAAUUCUUGUAGAGACAGGGUUUCACCAUGUUGGCCAGGCUGGUCUCAAACUCCUGACCUCAAGUGAACCGCUCACCUCGACCUACCAAAGUGCUGGGAUUACAGGCCUGAGCCACUGCACCUGGCCGAGGACUGUGCUCUUUAACACUAGGGAAUAUAUCUUCUCACAGGAAUGGGAAUAUCAGGUAACUAAUAUUGUGAAACCAUCUAGAUGCAAUAAUUGGGGAUUUGUUAAGAAAGUUAGGGUGUAUCUACAUAAUGGAUGACAUAAAAUAUUAUUUUAUGAAAAAGAAAACAAUCAUGUUAUAUUGAUUAACCAGAAGAGUUGCCUUAGCCAUGGAGCAUGGAUGCUGAGGACCAGAAUCCCCAACUGACCAGCAAAGGAUAUGUAACACAAACAAGAAUUAGACCUGUGCUGCUUUAAGCUAUUGAGAUUGUGGGCUGCUUGUUAUUGCAGCAUAAUAUCACCCAUCCUAAUUAAUACAAUUAAUGCUCUAAAUACAAGGACAGAGUCUGAAGAAACAAGCAAAGCAUAGUGGUGAUGAUGAAUUCUAAUCACACAGAGGAUUACACUAGGACAGAAUAAGGCACAGAAGGACUUCAAUUCAUUUAUCAUGACCUCUGAAAUGAGACACAUACAUUUUUAAACACCACCUUUUAACUGUUGCCAAUACUUAAGCCUCAAUCCCCUUGUCUCAAAAUGUGAAUAAUUUGCUGUGAAAAUCAGAUAAAACAAAAAACUUCAGGCACUUAGCACAGAGCCUAGCACACAAUCAUAACUCAAACCGCAGUAGCUUUCAUCCAUCAUUCGUGGGAUGUCCAUCUUAACAACAUAACAGAGACACAGGUUGGAGCUAGAGCUGCCAUAAGAAGGGAUCAAAUUUCUAUUGUCAGACAAGGACUCAUUUGUCUUUAUCUUUUAGCCACUUUUAGAGUCUAGGCAGAAGUGGGACGUUGUGGGAGGGCUUGCUCCAUACCCCAUUUGUUAUUUCCGAUAAAAUGAUUAUAACCUUUCAUAUGAUCCACAUUUCACAAGUAAGGAAGCCAAAGUUUCUUAGACAAAGUCAAAAGCCAGUAAUCCACAACUAUCAAUUUCUUUUUUAAAAAAUACAACAUGGUGGAACAUUUUUAUUUGAUGUCCGAUCUCAUCAGCUCAGAGGGAGAGUCAUGAUAACCUGCCUGAGAGGCUGGGACCCCUAAGAACUCACUGAAAAAUCAUGAGAAACAUCUCUAGUCCACAGAGCUCCACCAGGGUGGCCACAGUUGUUUUUGGCCAUGAGGAAAGAGAACAUGUUGAAGAAUAGCCUAUCUUUAUUUGACUGAAUACUCCUACUGUUUGUGUGACAUAAGAAAAGAUUAAGUUUGCUCUGAGCAAUGGGAAAUUCUUAGAUUCUUGUUGACUUCACUGCUCCAUAUGACUUGAAACAAACAGAACACCCUAUACUAAUCAUAACAGACUCAGGAAGCCUGAGGAGGGGUGAAUAUUUUAUAUUUAUAUAACAAAAAACAAAGCAGUGGCAAAUGGAAACCUACGUUAAUAAUAAGAUAAAAUGAAUGUCAUAAUAUUAGAAUAUACCACCUUCUACUAAGUUUAACAAGUGUCACGUGACUUCGAAGAGAAGAUAGUAAGGAACAAAAUGCUGUUGACAAAUUCUG
Molecule: long non-coding RNA, 2068 nt
Filed under: Homo sapiens (human)
Lineage: Eukaryota; Metazoa; Chordata; Mammalia; Primates; Hominidae
Description: non-protein coding lnc-C12orf74-12:2
Source: RNAcentral